ACGUGAAUAUGAUGGGAGUGAUUAAAAACAGUAGAUACAUGACGCAAUGGAAUAUUAUUUUUAUUUUUCUGCCUGAUGUAACAUAUGAAGGCAAGUAUUUCCUUCCUACGAAACAUAGGACAAAUUUAGCUGUUCCUGCAAUGAGUAAUAAUUAAAAAAACUAGUUAUGUUGUCUGCAAGAUGUCUACAUUGGCAAUUUUUUUUGAUCCAAUUAAUAAGAAUCACCUUCACUAGAAUAAUGACCAAAAACGCAGCAGAAGAAGAAUUAAGUUUACCGCCUGAGGGUAUUGUACGGUGUGUAUCUCGGCG
Long non-coding RNA from Anthonomus grandis grandis, 309 nucleotides. RefSeq lists it as uncharacterized. The transcript has 3 exons. NCBI's taxonomy places the organism in Eukaryota, Metazoa, Arthropoda, Insecta, Coleoptera, Curculionidae. The record is from RefSeq and is a predicted model, not a curated record.